GAUGAACGCUGGCGGCGUGCCUAAUACAUGCAAGUCGAGCGAACAGACGAGGAGCUUGCUCCUCUGACGUUAGCGGCGGACGGGUGAGUAACACGUGGAUAACCUACCUAUAAGACUGGGAUAACUUCGGGAAACCGGAGCUAAUACCGGAUAAUAUAUUGAACCGCAUGGUUCAAUAGUGAAAGACGGUUUUGCUGUCACUUAUAGAUGGAUCCGCGCCGCAUUAGCUAGUUGGUAAGGUAACGGCUUACCAAGGCAACGAUGCGUAGCCGACCUGAGAGGGUGAUAGGCCACACUGGAACUGAGACACGGUCCAGACUACUAAGGGAGGCAGCAGUAGGGAAUCUUCCGCAAUGGGCGAAAGCAUGACGGAGCAACGCCGCGUGAGUGAUGAAGGUCUUCGGAUCGUAAAACUCUGUUAUUAGGGAAGAACAAAUGUGUAAGUAACUAUGCACGUCUUGACGGUACCUAAUCAGAAAGCCACGGCUAACUACGUG
This 497-nucleotide ribosomal RNA is filed under the name uncultured bacterium. Its description in RNAcentral is "partial 16S ribosomal RNA". It matches the Rfam family "Bacterial small subunit ribosomal RNA", at positions 28 to 507 of the family's 1533-position model. The record is from RNAcentral.